CCUACGGGUGGCAGCAGUGGGGAAUAUUGGACAAUGGGGGCAACCCUGAUCCAGCCAUGCCGCGUGUGUGAAGAAGGCCCUCGGGUUGUAAAGCACUUUCAGUGAGGAAGAACGCCUGGUGGUUAAUACCCAUCAGGAAAGACAUCACUCACAGAAGAAGCACCGGCUAACUCCGUGCCAGCAGCCGCGGUAAUACGGAGGGUGCGAGCGUUAAUCGGAAUUACUGGGCGUAAAGCGCGCGUAGGUGGCUUGAUAAGCCGGUUGUGAAAGCCCCGGGCUCAACCUGGGAACGGCAUCCGGAACUGUCAAGCUAGAGUGCAGGAGAGGAAGGUAGAAUUCCCGGUGUAGCGGUGAAAUGCGAAGAGAUCGGGAGGAAUACCAGUGGCGAAGGCGGCCUUCUGGACUGACACUGACACUGAGGUGCGAAAGCGUGGGUAGCAAACAGGAUUAGAUACCCCAGUAGUC
RNAcentral lists this ribosomal RNA (465 nucleotides) under Vreelandella stevensii. Its description in RNAcentral is "partial 16S ribosomal RNA". It matches the Rfam family "Bacterial small subunit ribosomal RNA", at positions 338 to 795 of the family's 1533-position model. Lineage: Bacteria; Pseudomonadati; Pseudomonadota; Gammaproteobacteria; Oceanospirillales; Halomonadaceae. The record is from RNAcentral.